This 624-nucleotide long non-coding RNA is filed under the name Olea europaea subsp. europaea. The record is from RNAcentral. Lineage: Eukaryota; Viridiplantae; Streptophyta; Magnoliopsida; Lamiales; Oleaceae.
GGGAACUACUAAAAUCAAAUUCUCUGUUUUUUAGCUUUAGUUUCAUAUGCAAAGCAUAUACUAUAAAUCAUGAAACUGGAUCCAUUAGAGGACAGUACAAGAAUCCAUUAACACCCGUAUUUGGAGGCGGCGCCUAAAGAAAGUUAUCCAUAAUCGAGUUUGUUUUGGCAAUCCAUAUCUGUCCAUCUUCCACAGAAGAGAGUCAGUCACCUUAAAAAAUACGAAGCUGGUCCUUCAAAUACUCUCCAACCAACUUUAACUCGGCAUCCAAUCUUUCCUUCUUAUAGGGACGAUAACGAUGAGUUGGAGACCAAAAUGAACAGCAAAUGUAGAGGCUCAUACAAUCUCAGCGAGGCAUGUUCUUUCUUUUUAUGCUAGUUUUAAUUAAAAUGCAAUUGAGUGGCCAUUUUUAUCCAAUUUUUAGAGUCUAUAAAUACAUAUCUCAGACUAACAAUUGAGAGAGCAUCUUGUGGAUCCAAAAUUCAUAAUUAUUUACAAGAAAAGAAAUCAAUGAAGAAGUUAGGUUUCAAGGUUUCUAAAGAGAAUUGAGGAUUCUCGGUACAAAGGUUGAAAUCUAUUUUGUUCCUUAAUUUUAAUUAUAUAGUUCUAAUUUUCAAUUGAUUA